AUGAACGCUAGCGACAGGCUUAACACAUGCAAGUCGAGGGGUAACAGGGUAGCAAUACCGCUGACGACCGGCGCACGGGUGAGUAACGCGUAUGCAACCUGCCUAUAACUGGGGAAUAGCUCCCUGAAAGGGGGAAUUAACACCGCAUAACACUAUUGAUUCGCAUGGAUUGGUAGUUAAAUGUAGCGAUACAGGUUAUAGAUGGGCAUGCGUGACAUUAGCUAGUUGGUGAGGUAACGGCUCACCAAGGCUACGAUGUCUAGGGGUUCUGAGAGGAAGGUCCCCCACACUGGUACUGAGACACGGACCAGACUCCUACGGGAGGCAGCAGUGAGGAAUAUUGGUCAAUGGGCGCAAGCCUGAACCAGCCAUGUCGCGUGCAGGAAGAACCUGCCCUAUGGGUUGUAAACUGCUUUUAUAGUAGAAGAAACACAUCUACGCGUAGAUGUCUGCCAGUAUACUAUGAAUAAGCAUCGGCUAACUCCGUGCCAGCCGCCGC
Molecule: ribosomal RNA, 499 nt
Filed under: uncultured bacterium
Lineage: Bacteria
Description: bacterial SSU rRNA
Rfam family: Bacterial small subunit ribosomal RNA
Source: RNAcentral